This 253-nucleotide ribosomal RNA is filed under the name uncultured bacterium. RNAcentral's name for it is "partial 16S ribosomal RNA". It matches the Rfam family "Bacterial small subunit ribosomal RNA", at positions 524 to 776 of the family's 1533-position model. The record is from RNAcentral.
UACGUAGGUGGCAAGCGUUGUCCGGAUUUACUGGGCGUAAAGGGCGUGCAGGCGGUCUGUUAAGUGCAGGGUGAAAGCUCCCGGCUCAACUGGGAGAGGUCCUUGCAUACUGGCGGACUUGAGGGGGGUAGAGGAAAGUGGAAUUCCCGGUGUAGUGGUGAUAUGCGUAGAUAUCGGGAGGAACACCUGUGGCGAAGGCGGCUUUCUGGGCCCUACCUGACGCUGAGACGCGAAAGCGUGGGGAGCGGACCGG